AAAACACGAAUCAACUUCAG
Molecule: small nuclear RNA, 20 nt
Filed under: Arabidopsis thaliana (thale cress)
Lineage: Eukaryota; Viridiplantae; Streptophyta; Magnoliopsida; Brassicales; Brassicaceae
Description: snRNA_02752
Source: RNAcentral